GGUGUUCCCGUGGUUAAGAAUUCUCCUUGCAAUGCACAGGAUGCAGGUUCAGUCCCUGGUCAGGGAAUAAGGUCUCACAUGCUACAGAGCAACUAAGCCCUUGUGCCCCAGUACUGAGCCUGUGCUCUGGAGACCAUGUGUCACAACUAGAGAGUCCGUGUACCUCUCUGAAAGCUCUCUCAUGAUGCACUGAAGAUCUCGAGUGCUGCAACCAAGACCUGAGGCAGUCAAUCUCCCACGAUCUAUGUUGUAUACUUCUUGGGUUGCUGGAUUCUUCGCUUCUGUCCCUGGAGACCACUGCAGUCACAUUCUGAGUCAUUCUGAUCUGGCCAUCAACUUACUCCACCUUUGGCCAAGCUUCAACUCCCUCCACCUGCAAGGAAGUCCUUCACAUGAACUGGUCGCUGUGUGAAUUGAUGGUCUGUUUUGAGCCUUGCUACAAUCGGCUCCAUCCCAGCCACAACAUGACCUGCUCAGAAGAAGGCAUUCAAGACAGAAAAUGACAUGUGUAAUAAAGUUUCUACCUCCACUGCCACUAUCCUAAGCUCUUUCCAUGGUUAAGAAAGCCCAGGGUUUGGGGUCUCUGCAAAUAAAUAAGAGAGGCAUAUGGGAAACAAUGCUAGAGGCUGAGGUUUGAGGGUACAGAGGACACAAGGACAGAUGGAUGGAAGGUCAGAUAAACAUGUAAGCAAAGCUGGUAUCAUGGAGGUAAGAGAGCGAGGAGAACUCAUAUACAAAAUUUUAAGGAGUGAUGGGGUUGGAGGAAGGUGGCAGUGGGGAGGAGGUGAGAGAGAGUACCUGAAAAACUUCAGCACAUGGAUGUACAUUAGUCAGCUUUAAGUUACGUGUUCUACGCUGCACCCCAUUACUUUCAAAUCCUCACACAGAAGCUUGUUUUGCUCACAGCCUUGUAUUGGUCGUGUUCUUCAGAAAGAAGUCAAAAGAUAAUAGUCCUAGAGCUCCUAAGGUAGAACUAAGGGUACCAGUUAGCAUCUAGAGAACUUCUGUGAAGCAGGAUUGACCCAGGUGUGGAAGCCAGAUAAACCUCUUUCCCUCAAAGACACCAGGUGCCAUUUGAAAAGGCAGGAAGGAUAAGUACUGAUAUCUUGCGGUGUUGAUGUCCUUUAGCCAAAAAACACCAGGAACAGAAAAGCUGUGAAACAAGCUGAGGCUAUUGCUUGUUAAACUGUGUGGCAUCCCAGGGAGAGGAUGUUCAUUACAGGAUUUGAGCUUGUGUUGGUGAUGUGUGGGGAGGUUUUAAGGAAACAGAGCUUUGCUCUGAUUGGAUGCUGUCAGAAGGAGGGGUAAUUCUCUGAUUGGGUAUCUUAACCAGACUAAAGGAGAGGCUCAAGGUGUAAUUAUAAAGAAACAGCAGUCACUUUUGUUACCAGGGAUGGGGAUGUUUCGGUGUUUUGUGGGUUGGACAAUGUUCAUGGUUUAAUCUGUGUUUAUGCAUAUGGAAUUGUCCUGUUUCUGUCUUUACCCAUCAUGGCCACAG
Molecule: long non-coding RNA, 1498 nt
Organism: Bos taurus (domestic cattle)
Lineage: Eukaryota; Metazoa; Chordata; Mammalia; Artiodactyla; Bovidae
Source: Ensembl